RNAcentral lists this small RNA (243 nucleotides) under Paenibacillus sp. cl6col. RNAcentral describes it as "BsrG". It matches the Rfam family "BsrG". Rfam says of the family: bsrE, bsrG and bsrH pair through intermolecular interactions with antisense sRNAs. SR4 interaction with the 3'UTR of bsrG RNA promotes bsrG degradation and inhibits its translation. Lineage: Bacteria; Bacillati; Bacillota; Bacilli; Caryophanales; Paenibacillaceae. The record is from RNAcentral.
UACAACUGAUUCGGCAUGAAGGGCGGUCGGCUAGUCUCCCUGACGGGAGGUGAUGCCCAUGACAGUAUUCGAAGCACUAACGCUAAUGAUUAGCUUUGGUACGCUUAUCGUGAUGCUGUUAUCGUUUAAUAAACGGAAAUAGACCGCCCCAUAGCAAGGUAUCGGUCUAUUUCAUGUCCGUCUUUGCAGCCGACCGUUCUUACAUGCGGCCGUUGUGCAGGGAUCGUGUUGGUAGCACGAUCC